Parasteatoda tepidariorum (common house spider) is the source of this 642-nucleotide non-coding RNA. The record is from RefSeq and is a predicted model, not a curated record. NCBI's taxonomy places the organism in Eukaryota, Metazoa, Arthropoda, Arachnida, Araneae, Theridiidae.
UAUAAUGAUUAAAACUAUUAAAUUUUUUAAAUUAAUUUUGUUUUUUGACUAUUUUAAAUUUCAGAUUUCCCAUGAUACAAAGGAUUCUGUGACAUCAUUGUCUGUAUCAGAGCAUCAAAUAUUCAACACAGUGUUUAGGGCGGAAAGAAAUGCAAUUAAAAACUGACAAAGCACAGUACAUUGAGACUGAUAUAAUAAACAAGACAGGUUGGAUUCCGGGAGAAGUUAAAACCUGAUUAUUAGAAAUGCUUUCAACCUGCAACUAAACCUGUUUUGUUUGUUCCAUCCAUCUUCCUACAUCAUGUUUUGUCAGCUAAAAGUCCUUUGAAAAUUUUCAAAUUCUGGCAUAUAAGUAACAGUCGAAGAAAAUUGUUGAGAUAGAGAGAACUUUUUAUCUUGGACAGGAAGAAACUGGACAAAACGGAAUAAAAUAAAAAUGACUAAUACAAUUGCUCAACAAUAGGUGUUAUAACUAAAACAAAUUAAAUUUAUAGUAACAGAAAGUUUAUCAUUAGGUUUGAGAAUUCAAUAUGGGCUUUUAAUUGUAUCUAUGUUCAGUAUGUGAUUUAUUGAUUUAGUAGUAUUAAUAAAAUUCAGUUAUGUUAUUUUGAUUGUUCUUUAAAUAUAAAAUUACAAUUUAAU